Molecule: ribosomal RNA, 796 nt
Filed under: uncultured bacterium
Lineage: Bacteria
Description: bacterial SSU rRNA
Rfam family: Bacterial small subunit ribosomal RNA
Source: RNAcentral
AGAGUUUGAUCCUGGCUCAGGAUGAACGCUAGCGACAGGCUUAACACAUGCAAGUCGAGGGGCAGCAUAAAAGUAGCAAUACUUUGGUGGCGACCGGCGCACGGGUGAGUAACGCGUAUGCAACCUACCUAUCAGAGGGGAAUAACCCGGCGAAAGUCGGACUAAUACCGCAUAAAACAGGGGCACCGCAUGGUGAUAUUUGUUAAAGAAAUUCGCUGAUAGAUGGGCAUGCGUUCCAUUAGGUAGUUGGUGAGGUAACGGCUCACCAAGCCGACGAUGGAUAGGGGAACUGAGAGGUUGGUCCCCCACACUGGUACUGAGACACGGACCAGACUCCUACGGGAGGCAGCAGUGAGGAAUAUUGGUCAAUGGGCGGGAGCCUGAACCAGCCAAGUCGCGUGAAGGAAGAAGGAUCUAUGGUUCGUAAACUUCUUUUGCAGGGGAAUAAAGUGCAGGACGUGUCCUGUUUUGUAUGUACCCUGAGAAUAAGGAUCGGCUAACUCCGUGCCAGCAGCCGCGGUAAUACGGAGGAUCCGAGCGUUAUCCGGAUUUAUUGGGUUUAAAGGGUGCGUAGGUGGUUUGAUAAGUCAGCGGUGAAAGUUUGCAGCUUAACUGUAAAAAUGCCGUUGAAACUGUCGGACUUGAGUGUAAAUGAGGUAGGCGGAAUGCGUGGUGUAGCGGUGAAAUGCAUAGAUAUCACGCAGAACUCCGAUUGCGAAGGCAGCUUACUAAGCUACAACUGACACUGAAGCACGAAAGCGUGGGGAUCAAACAGGAUUAGAUACCCUGGUAGUCG